Molecule: ribosomal RNA, 250 nt
Filed under: uncultured bacterium
Lineage: Bacteria
Description: partial 16S ribosomal RNA
Rfam family: Bacterial small subunit ribosomal RNA
Source: RNAcentral
GCAAGUCGAGGGGCAGCAUAGGACUUCGGUUCUGAUGGCGACCGGCGCACGGGUGAGUAACGCGUACACUACCUACCUUUAACAGAGGGAUAGCCCUGGGAAACUGGGAUUAAUACCUCAUAGUAUUACUAGUUUGAUUAAUAAGUAAUUAAAGCUCCGGCGGUUAGAGAUGGGUGUGCGUUAGAUUAGCUAGUUGGUAAGGUAAUGGCCUACCAAGGCGACGAUGGGUAGGGGGCGUGAGAGCGUGGCC